Molecule: ribosomal RNA, 119 nt
Filed under: Xenopus tropicalis (tropical clawed frog)
Lineage: Eukaryota; Metazoa; Chordata; Amphibia; Anura; Pipidae
Source: RNAcentral
GCCUACGGCCAUACCACCCUGAAAGCGCCCGAUCUCGUCUGAUCUCGGAAGCUAAGCAGGGACGUGCCUGGUUAGUACCUGGAUGGGAGACCGCCUCGGAAUACCAGGUGUUGUAGGCU